UGGGCAGUAGCUCAGUGGUAGAGCUCCCGCAUCGUAUCCAGGAAGACUUGGGUUCGAUUCCCAGCUGUUUAC
Molecule: transfer RNA, 72 nt
Filed under: Toxocara canis (dog roundworm)
Lineage: Eukaryota; Metazoa; Nematoda; Chromadorea; Rhabditida; Toxocaridae
Rfam family: tRNA
About the family: Transfer RNA (tRNA) molecules are approximately 80 nucleotides in length. Their secondary structure includes four short double-helical elements and three loops (D, anti-codon, and T loops). Further hydrogen bonds mediate the characteristic L-shaped molecular structure. tRNAs have two regions of fundamental functional importance: the anti-codon, which is responsible for specific mRNA codon recognition, and the 3' end, to which the tRNAs corresponding amino acid is attached (by aminoacyl-tRNA synthetases). tRNAs cope with the degeneracy of the genetic code in two manners: having more than one tRNA (with a specific anti-codon) for a particular amino acid; and 'wobble' base-pairing, i.e. permitting non-standard base-pairing at the 3rd anti-codon position.
Source: Rfam by way of RNAcentral